GACGAACGCUGGCGGCAUGCCUAAUACAUGCAAGUCGAACGAGCUUCCGUUGAAUGACGUGCUUGCACUGAUUUCAACAAUGAAGCGAGUGGCGAACUGGUGAGUAACACGUGGGGAAAUCUGCCCAGAAGCAGGGGGAUAACACUUGGAAACAGGUGCUAAUACCGUAUAACAACAAAAUCCGACAUGGAUUUUGUUUGAAAGGUGGCUUCGGCUAUC
RNAcentral lists this ribosomal RNA (219 nucleotides) under uncultured bacterium. RNAcentral describes it as "partial 16S ribosomal RNA". It matches the Rfam family "Bacterial small subunit ribosomal RNA", at positions 28 to 229 of the family's 1533-position model. The record is from RNAcentral.